GGCGUGCCUAAUACAUGCAAGUUGAGCGAUGAAGAUUGGUGCUUGCACCAAUUUGAAGAGCAGCGAACGGGUGAGUAACGCGUGGGGAAUCUGCCUUUGAGCGGGGGACAACAUUUGGAAACGAAUGCUAAUACCGCAUAACAACUUUAAACACAAGUUUUAAGUUUGAAAGAUGCAAUUGCAUCACUCAAAGAUGAUCCCGCGUUGUAUUAGCUAGUUGGUGAGGUAAAGGCUCACCAAGGCGAUGAUACAUAGCCGACCUGAGAGGGUGAUCGGCCACAUUGGGACUGAGACACGGCCCAAACUCCUACGGGAGGCAGCAGUAGGGAAUCUUCGGCAAUGGACGAAAGUCUGACCGAGCAACGCCGCGUGAGUGAAGAAGGUUUUCGGAUCGUAAAACUCUGUUGGUAGAGAAGAACGUUGGUGAGAGUGGAAAGCUCAUCAAGUGACGGUAACUACCCAGAAAGGGACGGCUAACUACGUGCCAGCAGCCGCGGUAAUACGUAGGUCCCGAGCGUUGUCCGGAUUUAUUGGGCGUAAAGCGAGCGCAGGUGGUUUAUUAAGUCUGGUGUAAAAGGCAGUGGCUCAACCAUUGUAUGCAUUGGAAACUGGUAGACUUGAGUGCAGGAGAGGAGAGUGGAAUUCCAUGUGUAGCGGUGAAAUGCGUAGAUAUAUGGAGGAACACCGGUGGCGAAAGCGGCUCUCUGGCCUGUAACUGACACUGAGGCUCGAAAGCGUGGGGAGCAAACAGGAUUAGAUACCCUGGUAGUCCACGCCGUAAACGAUGAGUGCUAGAUGUAGGGAGCUAUAAGUUCUCUGUAUCGCAGCUAACGCAAUAAGCACUCCG
RNAcentral lists this ribosomal RNA (847 nucleotides) under Lactococcus lactis. Its description in RNAcentral is "bacterial SSU rRNA". It matches the Rfam family "Bacterial small subunit ribosomal RNA", at positions 41 to 871 of the family's 1533-position model. Lineage: Bacteria; Bacillati; Bacillota; Bacilli; Lactobacillales; Streptococcaceae. The record is from RNAcentral.